GGCUGUGGCAUAGUGGUUUGAGGAUUGGACUAUGACUCUGGAGACCAGGGUUCGACUCCCAGCUCAGCCA
Molecule: transfer RNA, 70 nt
Filed under: Phrynosoma platyrhinos (Desert horned lizard)
Lineage: Eukaryota; Metazoa; Chordata; Lepidosauria; Squamata; Phrynosomatidae
Description: tRNA-OTHER
Source: RNAcentral